UCUCUGGUAGUAUAUCGGUUAGUACACGCGCCUGUCAAAGGAUAUCCCUGAAGAAAAUUGUGCCGCGCGAAAGCUGGGUUCGACUCCCAGCCAGAGAG
RNAcentral lists this transfer RNA (98 nucleotides) under Armillaria solidipes. RNAcentral describes it as "tRNA-Asp". It matches the Rfam family "tRNA". From Rfam's summary of the family: Transfer RNA (tRNA) molecules are approximately 80 nucleotides in length. Lineage: Eukaryota; Fungi; Basidiomycota; Agaricomycetes; Agaricales; Physalacriaceae. The record is from RNAcentral.